AGUCGUAACAAGGUUUCCGUAGGUGAACCUGCGGAAGGAUCAUUAAGAAUUGAUAAUAUUUGUGAAAUUUACACAGCAAACAAUAAUCAUACAAUCAAAACAAAAAUAAUCAAAACUUUUAACAAUGGAUCUCUUGGUUCUCGUAUCGAUGAAGAACGCAGCGAAACGCGAUAUUUCUUGUGAAUUGCAGAAGUGAAUCAUCAGUUUUUGAACGCACAUUGCACUUUGGGGUAUCCCCCAAAGUAUACUUGUUUGAGCGUUGUUUCUCUCUUGGAAUUGCAUUGCUUUUCUAAAAUUUCGAAUCAAAUUCGUUUGAAAAACAACACUAUUCAACCUCAGAUCAAGUAGGAUUACCCGCUGAACUUAAGCAUAUCAAUAA
RNAcentral lists this unclassified non-coding RNA (379 nucleotides) under Geotrichum candidum. RNAcentral's name for it is "sequence contains 18S rRNA gene, ITS1, 5.8S rRNA gene, ITS2, 28S rRNA gene". The stretch from base 114 to 262 matches the Rfam family "5.8S ribosomal RNA". Lineage: Eukaryota; Fungi; Ascomycota; Dipodascomycetes; Dipodascales; Dipodascaceae. The record is from RNAcentral.